RNAcentral lists this transfer RNA (48 nucleotides) under Iguana iguana (Common green iguana). RNAcentral's name for it is "partial tRNA-His". Lineage: Eukaryota; Metazoa; Chordata; Lepidosauria; Squamata; Iguanidae. The record is from RNAcentral.
GUUAGCAUAGUUUAACAAAAACACUAGGAUGUGGCCCUAAAAACAGAA